This 271-nucleotide unclassified non-coding RNA is filed under the name Hevea brasiliensis (rubber tree). The record is from RNAcentral. Lineage: Eukaryota; Viridiplantae; Streptophyta; Magnoliopsida; Malpighiales; Euphorbiaceae.
GCGACGUCGGCGAUCGUCGAGAAGAGCCCUUACAUCGUCCGCACCUCCUUCACCAUGUGGCAGAACACCGUUCCUGCCGCCAAGGUUGCGAAGGCAAAGGGCGCGAAGAAGGUCGCGAUCGCCGUCACCGAUUACGGUCCCGGCAUUGACGCGGAAGCUGCGUUCAAGAAGACCUUCGAGGCCGACGGCGGCACGAUCGUCAAAGCCAUGCCACCACUGACUUCAGCCCGAUCAUGCAGCGCAUCAAGAGCUCGGGCGCUGACACCAUCUU